GUCCACGCCCUAAACGAUGUCAACUAGUUGUCGGGAAGUUAUUCCUUGGUAACGAAGCUAACGCGUGAAGUUGACCGCCUGGGGAGUACGGCCGCAAGGUUAAACUCAAAGGAAUUGACGGGGACCCGCACAAGCGGUGGAUUAUGUGGAUUAAUUCGAUGCAACGCGAAAACCUUACCUACCCUUGACAUGUCAGGAACCUCGCAGAGAUGUGAGGGUGCCCGAAAGGGAACCUGAACACAGGUGCUGCAUGGCUGUCGU
RNAcentral lists this ribosomal RNA (261 nucleotides) under uncultured bacterium. RNAcentral's name for it is "partial 16S ribosomal RNA". It matches the Rfam family "Bacterial small subunit ribosomal RNA", at positions 793 to 1055 of the family's 1533-position model. The record is from RNAcentral.